Molecule: ribosomal RNA, 460 nt
Filed under: uncultured bacterium
Lineage: Bacteria
Description: partial 16S ribosomal RNA
Rfam family: Bacterial small subunit ribosomal RNA
Source: RNAcentral
CCUACGGGUGGCAGCAGUGAGUAAUAUUGGUCAAUGGACGAGAGUCUGAACCAGCCAAGUAGCGUGAAGGAUUACUGCCCUCUGGGUUGUACACUUCUUUUAUAAAGGAAUAAAACGAGGCACGUGUGCCUUUUUGCAUGUACUUUAUGAAUAAGGAUAGGCUAACUCCGUGCCGGCAGCCGCGGUAAUACGGAGGAUCCGAGCGUUAUCCGGAUUUAUUGGUUUUAAAGGGAGCGUAGAUGGGUUGUUAAGUCAGUUGUGAAAGUUUGCGGCUCAACCGUAAAAUUGCAAUUGAUACUGGCAGUCGUGAGUACAGUUGAGGUAGGCGGAAUUCGUGGUGUAGCGGUGAAAUGCUUAGAUAUCACGAAGAACCCCGAUUGCGAAGGCAGCUUACGAAACUGUGACUGACAUUGAUGCUCGAAAGUGUGGGUAGCAAACAGGAGUAGAUACCCGAGUAGUC